RNAcentral lists this long non-coding RNA (245 nucleotides) under Cicer arietinum (chickpea). RNAcentral describes it as "long non-coding RNA (CARI_LNC003369)". The record is from RNAcentral. Lineage: Eukaryota; Viridiplantae; Streptophyta; Magnoliopsida; Fabales; Fabaceae.
AUUAUGUGUAUUUUGACUCUUUCUCGCUCUGUAGGUCAUAACUUGAGCUCUGGAUAUCGGAUUGGCACAUAUGAGCCAGCGUUGGAAAGCUAAAAAUCCGAGCUACAAUUUUUGUGUUGGAAGAAAAGACCAAUUUCGAGCGUUUCUGGGCCUAAAUUGCAGAUUUUGUAAUAUGGACUUUUGUAAUAAUUUUAAUUAGUGGAUCACUUGUUUUUAAACCCUAAACCCUAAAGCCCAAUAUCAAG